AACUGGAUAGCUCAGCUUGGUCAGAGCAACGGAUCCGUAAUCCGUCUGUCGUGGGUUCGAUUCCCACUCCAAACCCCA
RNAcentral lists this transfer RNA (78 nucleotides) under Stenotrophomonas beteli. Its description in RNAcentral is "tRNA-Thr". The stretch from base 4 to 71 matches the Rfam family "tRNA". From Rfam's summary of the family: Transfer RNA (tRNA) molecules are approximately 80 nucleotides in length. Their secondary structure includes four short double-helical elements and three loops (D, anti-codon, and T loops). The record is from RNAcentral. Lineage: Bacteria; Pseudomonadati; Pseudomonadota; Gammaproteobacteria; Lysobacterales; Lysobacteraceae.